GUGAGCUUGUGUUUUUGUUCUAUUUAUCCUAUCUCUGUGUAGCUGCAGAUCCAAUGAUGGAGGUUUGAGCUGAUUUCAGAACAGAGUGUCCAGUGUGUUUGUGAGGAAGAUGCAGUGGCUGUCAUUAUGCAGUCCUCACCAUUAGUAUGUAGAGGCCACUUUCAAAAUUUUGACCAGCCAAUCUCCUUCUUCUGUGUAGCAGCACUGUGUAAUUAAUUUAUCCUGGUUGUGGAGCGUAGACGUCGAUCCAUCGCAGAUUUCAUUUUGUCGGCUUCUCCACCUGCAUGAUGCUUUACACUGUAGCUGUGUGAAAAAAAGAAGAAGAGGGGGAACACCAAGUACUGAAAAAUAAAGUAACCACUUCAUCCUGGUCUGGGGAACAGUGGAUCUGGAGCCUGGGUGUUAGUUGGGAAUACACCUCGGAGAAUACACAGAGCAAGCCCAUGAGAUCAAACGCUGAAACUCCACACAGUUACCCAUGCUCAGGAUUAAACCAGGGAGCUGAAGUGGUGAGGUGGCAAUGCUACCUUAUAUGUGCCACCAUUCUGCCCACCUAGAAAGUGUGUGCGUAUUAUUUGUCUGUGCUCAUGAACCUCCAGGAAAUUAAUAUAUUUCCC
This is a long non-coding RNA of Ictalurus punctatus (channel catfish), 617 nucleotides long. NCBI's taxonomy places the organism in Eukaryota, Metazoa, Chordata, Actinopteri, Siluriformes, Ictaluridae. The record is from Ensembl.